This 695-nucleotide ribosomal RNA is filed under the name Penicillium sacculum. Its description in RNAcentral is "SSU rRNA". It matches the Rfam family "Eukaryotic small subunit ribosomal RNA", at positions 135 to 854 of the family's 1831-position model. The record is from RNAcentral. Lineage: Eukaryota; Fungi; Ascomycota; Eurotiomycetes; Eurotiales; Aspergillaceae.
ACUACAUGGAUACCUGUGGUAAUUCUAGAGCUAAUACAUGCUAAAAACCCCGACUCACGAAGGGGUGUAUUUAUUAGAUAAAAAACCAACGCCCUUCGGGGCUCCUUGGUGAAUCAUAAUAACUUAACGAAUCGCAUGGCCUUGCGCCGGCGAUGGUUCAUUCAAAUUUCUGCCCUAUCAACUUUCGAUGGUAGGAUAGUGGCCUACCAUGGUGGCAACGGGUAACGGGGAAUUAGGGUUCGAUUCCGGAGAGGGAGCCUGAGAAACGGCUACCACAUCCAAGGAAGGCAGCAGGCGCGCAAAUUACCCAAUCCCGAUACGGGGAGGUAGUGACAAUAAAUACUGAUACGGGGCUCUUUUGGGUCUCGUAAUUKGAAUGAGAACAAUUUAAAUCCCUUAACGAGGAACAAUUGGAGGGCAAGUCUGGUGCCAGCAGCCGCGGUAAUUCCAGCUCCAAUAGCGUAUAUUAAAGUUGUUGCAGUUAAAAAGCUCGUAGUUGAACCUUGGGUCUGGCUGGCCGGUCCGCCUCACCGCGAGUACUGGUCCGGCUGGACYUUCCUUCUGGGGACCUCAUGGCCUUCACUGGCUGUKGGGGGAACAGGACUUUUACUGUKAAAAAAUUAGAGUGUUCAAAGCAGGCCUUUGCUCGAAUACAUUAGCAUGGAAUAAUAGAAUAGGACGUGCGGUUCUAUUUU